Molecule: ribosomal RNA, 755 nt
Filed under: Escherichia coli
Lineage: Bacteria; Pseudomonadati; Pseudomonadota; Gammaproteobacteria; Enterobacterales; Enterobacteriaceae
Description: partial 23S ribosomal RNA
Rfam family: Bacterial large subunit ribosomal RNA
Source: RNAcentral
GGGACACGUGGUAUCCUGUCUGAAUAUGGGGGGACCAUCCUCCAAGGCUAAAUACUCCUGACUGACCGAUAGUGAACCAGUACCGUGAGGGAAAGGCGAAAAGAACCCCGGCGAGGGGAGUGAAAAAGAACCUGAAACCGUGUACGUACAAGCAGUGGGAGCACGCUUAGGCGUGUGACUGCGUACCUUUUGUAUAAUGGGUCAGCGACUUAUAUUCUGUAGCAAGGUUAACCGAAUAGGGGAGCCGAAGGGAAACCGAGUCUUAACUGGGCGUUAAGUUGCAGGGUAUAGACCCGAAACCCGGUGAUCUAGCCAUGGGCAGGUUGAAGGUUGGGUAACACUAACUGGAGGACCGAACCGACUAAUGUUGAAAAAUUAGCGGAUGACUUGUGGCUGGGGGUGAAAGGCCAAUCAAACCGGGAGAUAGCUGGUUCUCCCCGAAAGCUAUUUAGGUAGCGCCUCGUGAAUUCAUCUCCGGGGGUAGAGCACUGUUUCGGCAAGGGGGUCAUCCCGACUUACCAACCCGAUGCAAACUGCGAAUACCGGAGAAUGUUAUCACGGGAGACACACGGCGGGUGCUAACGUCCGUCGUGAAGAGGGAAACAACCCAGACCGCCAGCUAAGGUCCCAAAGUCAUGGUUAAGUGGGAAACGAUGUGGGAAGGCCCAGACAGCCAGGAUGUUGGCUUAGAAGCAGCCAUCAUUUAAAGAAAGCGUAAUAGCUCACUGGUCGAGUCGGCCUGCGCGGAAGAUGUA